AUGUCUGCACAUCUGGAGCACUGCACAGUGCAAGCAGGAGAGGUCCUGUCCCAUGCCAGGAGUGCUUCCACUUCUUCUGUAGGAAGGUGCUGCCAGGAAGAUGUCAACAAAUGGAGAAGACUUCAGACUGGCAGUCAGAGACAAAGGCUGCUGUUAGAGACACGAGGGUAAGGGCUUGUCUGGAGAGUCCCUGCCUGUCAGUGACAUAAGGUUCGAUGGACCUUCACUUCCCAAAGGUGGCGAAGCAGCGUGGUGGCCCAUCCUCUGCCCAGAGAGCACGGUGACGUUUGCGUAACGUCCUACAGCUUCCGCUCAAGUGGGUUUCACAACCUCCCCGGGUAAUCUGUUCUGGCCCUGCCUUACUCAGAGACAGUUUUUUGCAACAUCUAGCCUUUUUCUUUCUUUUUUUUUUUUUUUUCCUUUCUUCUUUUCUUUCCUGAAAAUUAAGCCGAUUAGAUCUUAUCUUUGUCCUUCCAGCAAUGUAAAUCGCUGCCUUUCUUAAUAACAACAUCUCCUGCUCUGCAACCCUGUUAUCACGUCCUGCCCUACUCCCAGACUUCUCCUCUAGACUCAACAAAC
Molecule: long non-coding RNA, 579 nt
Filed under: Calidris pugnax (ruff)
Lineage: Eukaryota; Metazoa; Chordata; Aves; Charadriiformes; Scolopacidae
Description: lncRNA (ENSCPUG00000003497.1)
Source: RNAcentral